CCACUUUUACUAGAACAUCAUGGAGGACUCUUAUGGUGUUUUUGAUGGAUCGAUCGUCCAUGAGCAACUUCAUUUGGUUGGGCUUUGGCUUACCCAACCCAUGUUUUUGAAAUAUAGCAUAAGGCAUAAGGUUCACACUUUCUCCAAGAUCACAUAAUGCAUUAGCAAAAGUGAAUGUGCCAAUGGUGCAUGAGAUUGUAAAAGCACCAGGAUCCUUCUUCUUUUUAAAAUAUACGCUUGUCAUAUGGAACUACAAUGGUGAGUCAUCUUUACGGUUUUGUCCUCCAACAAGUUUUU
Molecule: long non-coding RNA, 297 nt
Filed under: Capsicum annuum
Lineage: Eukaryota; Viridiplantae; Streptophyta; Magnoliopsida; Solanales; Solanaceae
Description: long non-coding RNA (CANN_LNC013865)
Source: RNAcentral